CAACUGCCACCAAUGCGGAAGUUCCCCAACCGCUCAAGAAAGAACUCUCCGGUGUAUGCAAAGCUUGCUUUUCUGCCGAUGCCGUCACCAAGCAUGCUGAAUUUGUGAGAGAAUACAAACAGGAUUUCGAGCAAGACCUGGAUCCAGAAAGUAGUUCAUUCCCUGCCACACUCGCAGAUUUGACAAUAAAACUGAAAGAGUGGAAAAGCAUUCUCCAGAGCAAUGUUGAAGACAGGUUUCCCGCUGUGUUGAGAUUGGAAGACGAGAGCAAGGUGCUGCGUGACUUCAAUGUUGUUGAUGUGGAGAUACCGGGACAGUACUUCGCUGACCAGGAAGUAGCACCUGAUCAUACAGUAAAGUUGGAUAGGGUUGCAGCAGACAUACAAAUUGUACGAAGGCAUGGAAGCAGCUGCAGACGUUUAACUCUUAUUGGCUCUGAUGGCUCGCAAAAGCAUUUCAUUGUUCAGACAUCAUUGACUCCUAAUGCGAGGAGUGAUGAACGAAUGUUGCAGCUUUUCCGUGUGAUGAACCAAAUGUUUGAUAAGCAUAAGGAGUCAAGAAAACGCCAUUUAGGAAUUCAUACACCGAUCAUAAUUCCUGUGUGGUCUCAGGUAUGCCUCGGAAAAAAAAAAUCAGCCUAGUUCCCCUUUUAGUUCUUGAUUCAGCUCAUUUUUCAUUCAAUGAGUAUAUAUGUGCGGUGCUAGGAUAGCUCGGAAACAAGGGCUGUCUGACGUUUGUGUUCAGAUACUUGACAAAAUGUAUGGACACUCACAAAUGGAAGUACAGGUACAGUUCUGAUAUCUUUAACCUUUCUAUAAUUUGAGCAGAGUUCAUUCAGUUGCAUAAUUCUAUAGAAGAACCUCCUCUUUGGAUUCGGCAUGUAGUUCACAUUAUUUUUCGUUUUUGCCUUUUCAUCUUUACGUAGUUUGUUAAUUAUUUUCCUGGCAUAGCUGUAAAUCGUCCCAUUAACUUAUGUGAUAUUUGAAGCAUGUAUGCAACCUUAUCCUUUCCCUGAUCCUAUAGAAUCUGUUUUCUUUCCCUGCGUAUUUUUCUUUUGGGGAUUGAAAUAACGUUUUUUAAGGUGUCUAAUCGCCUCAUCCGUGUAUGCAGGAAGCCUUUGUUAAAAUUAAAGAGCAGGCAAAGGCCUAUCUGGAAACGAAAGGAGAGCUUGCUACUGGUAUUAAUCUGGUUAAUAGCACAAAUUUGGAGUUCUUUCUAGCUAAGAAUAAGGCAGAGAUAUUUCGUCUAAAGGGGGAUUUUCAUUUGAAGUUAAAUGACACUGAUGGUGCCAAUCUUGCAUAUUCCAAUGCAAUCAGCGUAUUCAAUAAUUUAUCCAAAGGAUGGAUAAGCUGGGGAACUUACUCUGACAUGGUAUUUCUUAUGAUUAGAUGCUGUUUCUUUUCUCGGGCUAUUAAUAUUCCCCCUCUUCUCGUAUUAGAUAAUGUAUUUUUCUUUCGUUUCGCAGGCAUACCAAGAAACAGGAGAUGAAAUCUGGCUAGAAUAUGCUGUCAGCUGCUUUCUUCAGGGUAUAAGAUUUGGAGUUUCCCAUUCCAGAAGUCACAUGGCUCGUGUUCUUUAUCUUCUCAGUUUCGAUACGACAAACGAGCCUGCGGGUAGGAUAUUUGAUAAACACUUGGACCAAGUACCUCACUGGGUGUGGCUUUCUUGGAUCCCGCAGCUGUUGCUUUCCCUGCAGCGAACAGAAGCACCCCAUUGCAAAUUGGUUCUACUGAAAAUUGCUGCAGUAUUCCCGCAGGUAAGUUCCCUUUGGUAUAUUAGAUGAACUCCUUUUUGAUCAUUUCAAUUGAGUAUGAGACUGUUUCUCAUCUCAGGCUCUCUAUUACUGGCUCCGCACAUACUUACUGGAGCGUCGUGAUGCGGCAAAUAAAACUGAACUUAGCAGAGUGAUUAUGGCUCAAAGAAUGCAGCAGAAUGUUCCGGGUGUUAGUGUGGGUAAUUUAUCAUCAGAAACCCAAAUCCAUCAUGGUGCUCAAAGUAGUGGGGCUCUUGGAACCCAUGACAAUGGUAACCCACAUUCCCAAGAAAAUGAACGUUCCACUUUGGAUAACAGUUCAACUAUUAGUGAGAAUAGUCAAAACGCAGCCAUACGGAAUAGUGCUUCGUUGGCAAUCGCGGCUGCUGGUGCUUUUGAUGCGGCAAAGGAUAUUAUGGAAACUCUUAGGAGUAAACAUACCAACUUGGCCAGUGAACUUGAGGUAAUAUUUUGUUUGUGAAAUCUGUAAAUUCUCUCAAUACAUUUUCACCGUUAAGAUUAACUAAAAUGGGGGAAAAGGAUAGACAUAAUACUGUCUGGUACAAAUAGCUUUCAUUCAGAUUUCGACUCAAUUGCACAUUCCCUGCUUCUUUACUUCAAUAGUCUAAUAGAUUAUUUUUUCCUCGUAGAUUCUUCUCACAGAAAUAGGUUCGAGGUUUGUUACUUUGCCAGAAGAAAGGCUUCUUGCGGUCGUGAAUGCUUUGUUACAUCGAUGUUACAAAUAUCCAACUGCCACCAAUGCGGAAGUUCCCCAACCGCUCAAGAAAGAACUCUCCGGUGUAUGCAAAGCUUGCUUUUCUGCCGAUGCCGUCACCAAGCAUGCUGAAUUUGUGAGAGAAUACAAACAGGAUUUCGAGCAAGACCUGGAUCCAGAAAGUAGUUCAUUCCCUGCCACACUCGCAGAUUUGACAAUAAAACUGAAAGAGUGGAAAAGCAUUCUUCAGAGCAAUGUUGAAGACAGGUUUCCCGCUGUGUUGAGAUUGGAAGACGAGAGCAAGGUGCUGCGUGACUU
This 2786-nucleotide long non-coding RNA is filed under the name Brassica napus (rape). RNAcentral describes it as "long non-coding RNA (BNAP_LNC009131)". The record is from RNAcentral. Lineage: Eukaryota; Viridiplantae; Streptophyta; Magnoliopsida; Brassicales; Brassicaceae.